UUACGGUGUCCAUUACCAGCGCAUAGUCACGACUUCCCCCAAACACGAUGACAUCAGAGUCCUGCCCUAGGCAAGCGGAGUGCCACAACCUGUAAGGAGUCGCCAGAAACUGGUAAUUGACUGAUUGGAAUGUUCCCAGACUUCCCUCAUAAGUUUCCCCUACAGUGUAAGACACUGGCAAGCAAAGGGGUGGAUCUGAACCCAACAGACACUGCAUACCUUGGAUUGUUUUUGUGUGGGUGCUGCAUCUCUCUCCACUCCUUUGUCUGGACGUCAAAAAUCCAGCCAUCGCCUAAAGAGAGGACAAAAUAAGGGAUUUCUCCUGGAUGACCGGGGAAAUUCACAGGAGCUUGAAAGCAGUCGAACAAGACUGGGGUUUCUGAGGAAGGGAUCACACGUCCACUGCGCUCUCUACUCUAAGUCCUUGCAAAUGCUUGCACGUUUACAUCCUUCCUCUUCUCGUCCAUUCCUUCUAUUCAGACAUUCCUUUAGGUCAACAGGGGAAUUUACAUCUGAAAAGUAACAUGCAUGGGAAGAGGGUGCUGUCCGAUAACGGCGUCAGGGUGUGCCACGAGCGCUCCACGGGCUCCACCGACACGGGCACGCUGGAGACAGCGCGGGGAGAAACGGGUGCAGAUCACUAUUGUCAUCACUCCAUUGGCCUUCCUCCGCUUUCUCGCCCUCUUCCUCAACAGCUGAUGAAACAUCAUCUGACUUCCACAGCAAAUCCAGACAGUGAAUGUCCAUCGACGAGGCCUCCUGUCAAGAGAAAACACACACUGGCUUCACACAUGAGCGGGAUGCACAAGAUAUAGGGAAAUUAACUUGAGACUAGGUGUCCAUGGAUACAUUUAAGAACAUGCUGAGGACUGUACUUGGCAUCUUCGCAUGGCACAGUAUUAAAGUAAAAUAAUAAUGUUAAAUAUAAGGAAUACAGUUUGAUGUACAUUCAGUAAAAAUGUUUCUGUGUUAGAAAACAAAUUGUUCGCUGCCUCAGCAAUGUUUUUUAUGCAUAGAUACAGUAUUUAAAACACAUACUAAUGAUAUUUAAUAUGGGUUAUUGCAACAUACACUGGUACUCUCUACAAAAUUCAACCACUACACAAUGAGAAUAUUUCAGAGUGCACUUGAAAAUAAUUUUAUUAUUAUUUUUAGUCAUCUUUUAUUUAUACGGGUUGUUCACCUGUUGAACAGGCAGCAGUCACCCGCUCAUUGCCAUUAUAAACACAAGUUUAAAAAAAAAAAAGUAAACCGCAAACUGGGCUUAAAUAUAUUCACUCAUCUGUUACAAUAUUGUAGAUCCUGGCUUUGGAUUUGAGAGGGUUUAUAAGGUUAAUAGUCUUUAAAUAAGUGUCUGCAAAGCACCAAUGCAAUUACAGAAUCGUACCAGAGGAACACUUACCACG
Anguilla rostrata (American eel) is the source of this 1406-nucleotide long non-coding RNA. RefSeq lists it as uncharacterized. The record is from RefSeq and is a predicted model, not a curated record. The transcript has 6 exons. Lineage: Eukaryota; Metazoa; Chordata; Actinopteri; Anguilliformes; Anguillidae.